AGAGUUUGAUCAUGGCUCAGAUUGAACGCUGGCGGCAGGCCUAACACAUGCAAGUCGAACGGUAACAGGAAGCAGCUUGCUGCUUCGCUGACGAGUGGCGGACGGGUGAGUAAUGUCUGGGAAGCUGCCUGAUGGAGGGGGAUAACUACUGGAAACGGUAGCUAAUACCGCAUAAUGUCGCAAGACCAAAGAGGGGGACCUUCGGGCCUCUUGCCAUCGGAUGUGCCCAGAUGGGAUUAGCUUGUUGGUGGGGUGACGGCUCACCAAGGCGACGAUCCCUAGCUGGUCUGAGAGGAUGACCAGCCACACUGGAACUGAGACACGGUCCAGACUCCUACGGGAGGCAGCAGUGGGGAAUAUUGCACAAUGGGCGCAAGCCUGAUGCAGCCAUGCCGCGUGUAUGAAGAAGGCCUUCGGGUUGUAAAGUACUUUCAGCGGGGAGGAAGGGAGUAAAGUUAAUACCUUUGCUCAUUGACGUUACCCGCAGAAGAAGCACCGGCUAACUCCGUGCCAGCAGCCGCGGUAAUACGGAGGGUGCAAGCGUUAAUCGGAAUUACUGGGCGUAAAGCGCACGCAGGCGGUUUGUUAAGUCAGAUGUGAAAUCCCCGGGCUCAACCUGGGAACUGCAUCUGAUACUGGCAAGCUUGAGUCUCGUAGAGGGGGGUAGAAUUCCAGGUGUAGCGGUGAAAUGCGUAGAGAUCUGGAGGAAUACCGGUGGCGAAGGCGGCCCCCUGGACGAAGACUGACGCUCAGGUGCGAAAGCGUGGGGAGCAAACAGGAUUAGAUACCCUGGUAGUCCACGCCGUAAACGAUGUCGACUUGGAGGUUGUGCCCUUGAGGCGUGGCUUCCGGAGCUAACGCGUUAAGUCGACCGCCUGGGGAGUACGGCCGCAAGGUUAAAACUCAAAUGAAUUGACGGGGGCCCGCACAAGCGGUGGAGCAUGUGGUUUAAUUCGAUGCAACGCGAAGAACCUUACCUGGUCUUGACAUCCACGGAAGUUUUCAGAGAUGAGAAUGUGCCUUCGGGAACCGUGAGACAGGUGCUGCAUGGCUGUCGUCAGCUCGUGUUGUGAAUGUUGGGUUAAGUCCCGCAACGAGCGCAACCCUUAUCCUUUGUUGCCAGCGGUCCGGCCGGGAACUCAAAGGAGACUGCCAGUGAUAAACUGGAGGAAGGUGGGGAUGACGUCAAGUCAUCACGGCCCUUACGACCAGGGCUACACACGUGCUACAAUGGCGCAUACAAAGAGAAGCGACCUCGCGAGAGCAAGCGGACCUCAUAAAGUGCGUCGUAGUCCGGAUUGGAGUCUGCAACUCGACUCCAUGAAGUCGGAAUCGCUAGUAAUCGUGGAUCAGAAUGCCACGGUGAAUACGUUCCCGGGCCUUGUACACACCGCCCGUCACACCAUGGGAGUGGGUUGCAAAAGAAGUAGGUAGCUUAACCUUCGGGAGGGCGCUUACCACUUUGUGAUUCAUGACUGGGGUGAAGUCGGAACAAGGUA
RNAcentral lists this ribosomal RNA (1499 nucleotides) under metagenome. RNAcentral's name for it is "bacterial SSU rRNA". It matches the Rfam family "Bacterial small subunit ribosomal RNA". The record is from RNAcentral.